AAUCAACGCUGGCGGCGCGCUUAACACAUGCAAGUCGAACGAGAAAGCCGGGGCAACCUGGUGAGUAAAGUGGCGUACGGGUGAGUAACACGUGGGUGAUCUACCCUCUGGUGGGGAAUAACCCUGGGAAACCGGGGCUAAUACCGCAUAAGUCGCUUUCCGUUAAAGGGAGGCGGGAAAGUCGCAAGACGCCGGAGGAGGAGCCCGCGGCCGAUUAGCUAGUUGGUGGGGUAACGGCCCACCAAGGCUUUGAACGGUAGCCGGCCUGAGAGGGCACACGGCCACACUGGCACUGAAACACGGGCCAGACUCCUACGGGAGGCAGCAGUGGGGAAUCUUGCACAAUGGGGGCAACCCUGAUGCAGCGACGCCGCGUGAGCGAUGAAGCCCUUCGGGGUGUAAAGCUCUUUCGGCAGGAACGAUAAUGACGGUACCUGCAGAAGAAGCUGCGGCUAACUACGUGCCAGCAGCCGCGGUAAUACGUAGGCAGCAAGCGUUGUUCGGAGUUACUGGGCGUAAAGAGUGCGUAGGCGGUCCUCUAAGUUCGGUGUGAAAUCUCCCGGCUCAACUGGGAGGGUGCGCCGGAAACUGGAGGGCUCGAGUAUGGGAGAGGAAAGCGGAAUUCCUGGUGUAGCGGUGAAAUGCGUAGAUAUCAGGUGGAACACCUGCGGUGUAGACGGCUUUCUGGACCAUGACUGACGCUGAGGCACGAA
RNAcentral lists this ribosomal RNA (713 nucleotides) under uncultured bacterium. RNAcentral's name for it is "bacterial SSU rRNA". It matches the Rfam family "Bacterial small subunit ribosomal RNA", at positions 28 to 757 of the family's 1533-position model. The record is from RNAcentral.